AUGCGCACUAUAUCUCCAGUGCGCAUUCAUAGCCCGGUGCGCUCUGUGCCUGCGCCCCGCAUUUGCCGUGCUAGAGUGGGCAUUCAGCCAGGAAGGGUUGUGCCGGCUCAGCGCUCCUGGUCUCCAGUACGCCUCCUCAGUCCAGGAUAUCCUGCGCCAGCUCUACGCACCUUGUCGCCAGUGCGCAUUCACAGCCCAGUUCGUCCUGUGCCAGCGCCCCGCACUUGCCGGGCUCAAGUGAGCGUUCAGCCAGGACGGGUUGUGCCAGCUCUAUGCUCCAGACCCCCAGUGCGCCUCCACAGUCCAGUAUAUCCUGCACCGGUUCUACGCACCAGGUCUCCAGUGCGCCUCCACAGUCCAGUACGUCCUGUGCCUCCUCCUCGCACUCUCCCUGAAGUGCGUGUCCUCAGUCAGGUACAUCCUGUGCCUGCUCCUCGCACUUGCCCUGAAGUGCGUGUCACCAGUCUGGCGAUACCUGUUCCAGCUCCACGCAUCAGGCCUCCAGUGCGCCUUCCCAGUCCAGAGCUUCCGGCGACGGUCCGCGGUCCGGAGCCUCCAGCGGGGGUUGCCAGUCCGGAGCCUCCGGCAACGAUCUACUGUCAGGUUCCUCCGGCGACGGAUCCAGGGUCUGGAGCCUCCUGCGACGGUUCCCGGCCCGGAGCCUCCGGCGACGGUUCCCUGCCCGGAGCCUCCAGUGGGGGUUGCCAGUCCAGAGCCUCCGGCAACGAUCUAAUGUCAGGUUCCUCCGGUGACGAUCCAGGGUCUGGAGCCUCCGGCGACGAUCCACAGUCCGGUUCCAUGAAAGUGGGGGAAGCCCCAAGCAGAGGGGGAUCGGCGUCCCGCACCAGAGCCUCCACCAAGUGGAGAUGCCCACCCGGACCAUCCCCUAUAGGUUCAGGUUUGUGGCCGAAGUCCACACCUUUUGGGGGGGUACUGUCACGCCCUGACCUUAAAGUUAUUAUUUACUCUCUAUGUUUGGUUAGGUCAGGGUGUGACUCGGGUGGGAAUAUCUAUGUUUUCUAUUUCUUUGUUUUUUGA
This 1038-nucleotide long non-coding RNA is filed under the name Salmo trutta (river trout). RNAcentral describes it as "lncRNA (ENSSTUG00000039255.1)". The record is from RNAcentral. Lineage: Eukaryota; Metazoa; Chordata; Actinopteri; Salmoniformes; Salmonidae.